GAUGAACGCUGGCGGCGUGCCUAAUACAUGCAAGUCGAGCGAACGGACGAGAAGCUUGCUUCUCUGAUGUUAGCGGCGGACGGGUGAGUAACACGUGGAUAACCUACCUAUAAGACUGGGAUAACUUCGGGAAACCGUAGCUAAUACCGGCUAAUAUUUUGAACCGCAUGGUUCAAAAGUGAAAGACGGUCUUGCUGUCACUUAUAGCUGGAUCCGCGCUGCAUUAGCUAGUUGGUAAGGUAACGGCUUACCAAGGCAACGAUGCAUAGCCGACCUGAGAGGGUGAUCGGCCACACUGGAACUGAGACACGGUCCAGACUCCUACGGGAGGCAGCAGUAGGGAAUCUUCCGCAAUGGGCGAAAGCCUGACGCAGCAACGCCGCGUGAGUGAUGAAGGUCUUCGGAUCGUAAAACUCUGUUAUUAGGGAAGAACAUAUGUGUAAGUAACUGUGCACAUCUUGACGGUACCUAAUCAGAAAGCCACGGCUAACUACGUG
RNAcentral lists this ribosomal RNA (497 nucleotides) under uncultured bacterium. Its description in RNAcentral is "partial 16S ribosomal RNA". It matches the Rfam family "Bacterial small subunit ribosomal RNA", at positions 28 to 507 of the family's 1533-position model. The record is from RNAcentral.